UUAAGUGAAUAAGGGCGUACGGUGGAUGCCUAGGCACUUGGAACUGAAGAAGGACGCAACAAACGGCGAAACGCGACGGGGAGUGGUACGUACACAAAGAUCCGUCGAUAUCCGAAUGGGGAAACCCGGCAGCAGUAAUGAGCUGUCACCCAUGAGUGAAUACAUAGCUCAUGAGGGAGGUACCCGGAGAACUGAAACAUCUAAGUAUCCGGAGGAAAAGAAAAUAAGAAUGAUUCCGUAAGUAGCGGCGAGCGAACGCGGAGGAGCCCAAACCAGAUCUUGAUCUGGGGUUGUAGGACCACGAAAUGGCAAGAGCAUGGCUAAGAGAACGGCAUUGAAAGGCCGACCGGAGAGGGUGCAAGUCCCGUAACUGAAAGUCUAGCGAAGCCUAGUGGUAUCCUGAGUACGGCGAGACACGAGAAAUCUUGUCGGAAGCAGGCGGGACCAUCCGUCAAGGCUAAAUAUACCCAAGUGACCGAUAGUGAACCAGUACCGUGAGGGAAAGGUGAAAAGAACCGCGGGAGCGGAGUGAAAUAGAACCUGAAACCGUAUGCUUACAAGAAGUCAGAGCCCGUUAAAGGGUGAUGGCGUGCCUUUUGUAGAAUGAACCGGCGAGUUACGUUAUCGUGCGAGGUUAAGUAGAAGAUACGGAGCCGAAGCGAAAGCGAGUCUUAAUAGGGCGACAGUACGAUGAUGUAGACCCGAAACCGUGUGAUCUAGCCAUGACCAGGUUGAAGUUCAGGUGAAACUGAAUGGAGGACCGAACCGACCCCCGUUGAAAAGUUGGCGGAUGAGUUGUGGCUAGGGGAGAAAUUCCAAUCGAACACGGAUAUAGCUGGUUCUCCCCGAAAUAGCUUUAGGGCUAGCGUCGAGGUAGAGUCGCAUGGAGGUAGAGCACUGAAUGUACGAUGGCCCCAUCCCGGGGUACUGAGUAUAAUCAAACUCCGAAUGCCAUGCAGACAUACUCGGCAGUCAGACUGUGGGUGAUAAGGUCCAUGGUCAAAAGGGAAACAGCCCAGACCGCCAGUUAAGGUCCCAAAAUGUAUGCUAAGUGGAAAAGGAUGUGGGGAUGCACAGACAACUAGGAGGUUGGCUCAGAAGCAGCCAUCCUUCAAAGAGUGCGUAACAGCUCACUAGUCGAGUGACCCUGCGCCGAAAAUGUACCGGGGCUAAGCAUACUACCGAAGCUGCGGAUUCAACUUCAGAGUUGAGUGGUAGGGGAGCGUUGCAUGCACGUAGAAGCCGUACCGUAAGGAGCGGUGGAGAGCAUGGAAGAGAGAAUGCCGGUGUGAGUAGCGAGAUGUAGGUGAGAAUCCUACACACCGAUAGCCCAAGGAUUCCAGGGGAAGGUUCGUCCGCCCUGGGUAAGUCGGGACCUAACGCGAGGCCGAAAGGCGUAGUGGAUGGAAAACAGGCAGAUAUUCCUGUACCCGCGAUGGAAAUGAAGGAAUGACGGAGAAGGCUAGUGUGAGCCACUGAAUGGAUUGUGGUCGAAGCAUAUAGCAGGCUGACAGUGAAAUGCGUCAGCGGGAUGUAAGAUGUGACAGGUAAGGGAACGUCCUUGGACAAGUACUGAAGCACAUGAUGCCAGCUUCCAAGAAAAGUUUCUAGUGAUAAUUCCAUAGCGGCCCGUACCAAAACCGACACAGGUGGGCAAGGAGAGAAUCCUGAGGUGAGCGAGAGAACUGUUGCCAAGGAACUCGGCAAAAUGACUCCGUAAGUUAGCGAUAAGGAGUGCUCUUGUAAAAGAGAGCCGCAGUGAAGAGGCCCAAGCGACUGUUUAACUAAAACACAGCUCUCUGCAAAGUCGCAAGACGAAGUAUAGGGGGUGACGCCUGCCCGGUGCUGGAAGGUUAAGAGGAUUUGUCAUCCGCAAGGAGAAGCAAUGAAUUGAAGCCCCAGUGAACGGCGGCCGUAACUAUAACGGUCCUAAGGUAGCGAAAUUCCUUGUCAGGUAAG
This 1959-nucleotide ribosomal RNA is filed under the name human gut metagenome. Its description in RNAcentral is "bacterial LSU rRNA". It matches the Rfam family "Bacterial large subunit ribosomal RNA", at positions 1 to 1980 of the family's 2925-position model. The record is from RNAcentral.